GCAUGCGCGCGGCGACCUGUGCGCUCGGGUUCUGUGCCGGCUUUUACCCCAGCUGAAUAACCUGGUGGUCACAAGAAAGCAAAGGGAUUUUUAUGUGACAUCAUCUUGGCAAGAAGCUCCCUUACCAACCUUGACCUCCAGGUCUCCAUGGCAACUGCUGCUGGGACAUCAUUGGCACCAGAUUGUGUCCCUUAAAGGCCACACUGCAGCAAGGGCAGAUAAACAAUUUCAUGGCAA
RNAcentral lists this long non-coding RNA (237 nucleotides) under Homo sapiens (human). RNAcentral describes it as "HSALNT0377687". Lineage: Eukaryota; Metazoa; Chordata; Mammalia; Primates; Hominidae. The record is from RNAcentral.